CCGCGUGUGUGAAGAAGGCCUUCGGGUUGUAAAGCACUUUCAGUUGUGAGGAAAAGUUAGUAGUUAAUACCUGCUAGCCGUGACGUUAACAACAGAAGAAGCACCGGCUAACUCCGUGCCAGCAGCCGCGGUAAUACGGAGGGUGCGAGCGUUAAUCGGAAUUACUGGGCGUAAAGCGCACGCAGGCGGUUUGUUAAGCUAGAUGUGAAAGCCCCGGGCUCAACCUGGGAUGGUCAUUUAGAACUGGCAGACUAGAGUCUUGGAGAGGGGAGUGGAAUUCCAGGUGUAGCGGUGAAAUGCGUAGAUAUCUGGAGGAACAUCAGUGGCGAAGGCGACUCCCUGGCCAAAGACUGACGCUCAUGUGCGAAAGUGUGGGUAGCGAACAGGAUUAGAUACCCUGGUAGUCCACACCGUAAACGCUGUCUACUAGCUGUGUGUGCCUUUAAGGCGUGCGUAGCGAAGCUAACGCGCUAAGUAGACCGCCUGGGGAGUACGGCCGCAAGGUUAAAA
Molecule: ribosomal RNA, 510 nt
Filed under: Alteromonas sp.
Lineage: Bacteria; Pseudomonadati; Pseudomonadota; Gammaproteobacteria; Alteromonadales; Alteromonadaceae
Description: bacterial SSU rRNA
Rfam family: Bacterial small subunit ribosomal RNA
Source: RNAcentral